UACGUAGGGGGCAAGCGUUGUCCGGAAUCAUUGGGCGUAAAGAGCGCGUAGGCGGCUUGGCAAGUCUCGCGUGAAAUCCUGCGGCUCAACCGCAGGCGGUCGCGGGAAACUGCCUCGCUAGAGUCCGGAAGAGGAGAGUGGAAUUCCUGGUGUAGCGGUGGAAUGCGCAGAUAUCAGGAAGAACACCCGUGGCGAAGGCGGCUCUCUGGGACGGUACUGACGCUGAGACGCGAAAGCGUGGGGAGCGAACAGG
RNAcentral lists this ribosomal RNA (253 nucleotides) under uncultured bacterium. Its description in RNAcentral is "partial 16S ribosomal RNA". It matches the Rfam family "Bacterial small subunit ribosomal RNA", at positions 524 to 776 of the family's 1533-position model. The record is from RNAcentral.